CUUGAGAUGCCUCAAGGUCCCUCUGCCAUGAGGGACCGUCACUGCCCCUGCACACUCAGACAGCCUUUGGACUGACCAUCUGGGCUGUCCAGGGCCAUGUGCCAUCCAAACCCCCUGGCAUCUGCACCUUCAGUGUGGCCCCUGCAGGAUGGUCCUUAUUGGCUGUUACCACUCAGCCUCCCACAUCCACCAUGUUAAGCUCAAGCCCCCACUGCCCCUCCUGGACCUUGUGACCUUCAGCAGCUUUGGCUGAGAGCUGGGCAAUGCCCUUUGCUGCCUCAGCCCUGGGACCACAGCCUACACUUUCCCUGGGCCCCAUCCAAGAACAAAGCCUUUUGCAGGAGCAGGGACCCCCAGCCCUCUCUGCCCCCAGGCCCUCUGUCACCUGAGAAUCUCUCCCCAACCUCCCCACAGGCUCCGGGCAGCUGAUGGCCCUUAGAGCCAGGCCUUCUCCUCUAGGAAGUCCCCCAUGCCAUCUGACAGCCCAGGUGAUGCCUGUGUUUGGGCUGCACCCUGGGCCUCAGGGACGAGGGGGCUUGGCAGGACUGUGCCUCGGUGGGAGGUCUGCGUGAAUCACCCCUCAGUGGAGGCACAAACGCAGGAAACUCUAUUCUGUCAAACUGUUUUCUCUUGCGGGGGAGAACCGGCCACACGAAGGCAUUGUUCAUGGCUAGCGCCUUCCGGGUGGGCCCACUCUGGAAUGGGAUGAGUGGCUUCCCCUCAGGACCCAAGGGCGCCUGGAGGUUGGAAAUGUGGGGUCUUGGUCCAGUCACCGGCCCUGGGAGACACUGCAUAUCCACUAGGCUUGUGCCCUCGGAAGUGGGGGCUGAUCAGCCUGAGGUGGUGCAGGGCUGGAGCCCAGCCCUCGGCUCUGCAGGACUUGCGCCUGCACAAGCCCCUCCAGCCAGACUGGGCUCCAUGAACAUGGGGGGCAGGCAGCCCUCAUAUGGCCCCAGCCCUAUCCCGAGGACUUCUCACAAGGGGGAGGUGGUGAGGGUGGUGAUAUGACACCACUCAGGUGCUCACCUGUUCCUGGGGACUGCUGAGAGGACCUAGGCAGCAUCUCCAAAGGGCAGGGACAGCCACCCUAACAUGCUUGGGGCAGUGCAGGGUGAGGGUGGCGAGGGGGUCAAGUGGGCAGGCUCCUUGCUCCAGCACCCCUCUGCCAACUGGGCAGGCUCCCAGUGGGGCCUGAGUGUCAGGGUGGGGGAGCAUGCCACGUGUUCCCUGGUGGCCACUUGGCCUCUGAGUUCUGCCCUCCAGUCCUG
RNAcentral lists this long non-coding RNA (1268 nucleotides) under Marmota monax (woodchuck). Lineage: Eukaryota; Metazoa; Chordata; Mammalia; Rodentia; Sciuridae. The record is from RNAcentral.